RNAcentral lists this ribosomal RNA (104 nucleotides) under Triticum aestivum (bread wheat). Lineage: Eukaryota; Viridiplantae; Streptophyta; Magnoliopsida; Poales; Poaceae. The record is from RNAcentral.
AUCAUACCAGCACUAAAGCACCGGAUCCCAUCAGAACUCCGAAGUUAAGCGUGCUUGGGCGAGAGUAGUACUAGGAUGGGUGACCUCCUGGGAAGUCCUCGUGU